This 424-nucleotide ribosomal RNA is filed under the name Verrucomicrobiota bacterium. RNAcentral's name for it is "Verrucomicrobia bacterium partial 16S ribosomal RNA". It matches the Rfam family "Bacterial small subunit ribosomal RNA", at positions 355 to 776 of the family's 1533-position model. Lineage: Bacteria; Pseudomonadati; Verrucomicrobiota. The record is from RNAcentral.
UGAGGAAUAUUGGUCAAUGGACGCAAGUCUGAACCAGCCAAGUAGCGUGCAGGAUGACGGCCCUAUGGGUUGUAAACUGCUUUUAUAUGGGGAUAAAGUGGGGAACGUGUUCCCUUUUGCAGGUCCCAUAUGAAUAAGGACCGGCUAAUUCCGUGCCAGCAGCCGCGGUAAUACGGAAGGUUCGGGCGUUAUCCGGAUUUAUUGGGUUUAAAGGGAGCGUAGGCCGUUUGGUAAGCGUGUUGUGAAAUGUAGGAGCUCAACUUCUAGAUUGCAGCGCGAACUGUCAGACUUGAGUGCGCACAACGUAGGCGGAAUUCAUGGUGUAGCGGUGAAAUGCUUAGAUAUCAUGAAGAACUCCGAUGGCGAAGGCAGCUUACGGGAGCGCAACUGACGCUGAAGCUCGAAGGUGCGGGUAUCGAACAGG